Molecule: ribosomal RNA, 492 nt
Filed under: uncultured bacterium
Lineage: Bacteria
Description: partial 16S ribosomal RNA
Rfam family: Bacterial small subunit ribosomal RNA
Source: RNAcentral
AGUGAACGCUGGCGGUAGGCCUAACACAUGCAAGUCGAACGGCAGCACAGUAAGAGCUUGCUCUUACGGGUGGCGAGUGGCGGACGGGUGAGGAAUACAUCGGAAUCUACUUUUUCGUGGGGGGUAACGUAGGGAAACUUACGCUAAUACCGCAUACGCCCUACGGGUGAAAGCGGGGGAUCUUCGGACCUUGCGCGAUUGAAUGAGCCGAUGUCGGAUUAGCUAGUUGGCGGGGUAAAGGCCCACCAAGGCGACGAUCGGUAGCUGGUGUGAGAGGAGGAUCGGCGACACUGGAAGUGGGACAGGGUCCAGAGGACUGCGGGAGGGAGCAGUGGGGAAUAGUGGGCAACGGGGGGGAGCCUUAUCCAGUCAUACCGAGUGUGAGAAGAAGGCGUUCGGGUUGUGAAGACCGUUUGUUGGGAAAGAAAAGCAUCAGGUUAGUACGCCGCGGUACUGACGGUACCCGAAGAAUAAGCACCGGCUAACUUCGUG